Molecule: ribosomal RNA, 114 nt
Filed under: Methylophilales bacterium RIFCSPHIGHO2_02_FULL_57_10
Lineage: Bacteria; Pseudomonadati; Pseudomonadota; Betaproteobacteria; Nitrosomonadales
Source: RNAcentral
UCUGGCGGCCAUAGCGGUUUGGAACCACCCCUUCCCAUCCCGAACAGGACCGUGAAACGAGCCCGCGCCAAUGAUAGUAUGCAUUCCGCAUGCGAAAGUAGGUCACCGCCAGAC